CCUGCCCACUGAUUAAUUGAAUGGCCGCAGUAUUUUGACUGUGCAAAGGUAGCAUAAUCAUUAGUUUUUUAAUUAAAAGCUUGUAUGAAGGGUUGGACGAGAUAAAAUCUGUCUCUAUUUAAUUUAUUUUAGAAUUUAAUUUUUAAGUUAAAAAGCUUAAAUUAUUAUAAAAGACGAGAAGACCCUAUAGAUCUUUAUAUUAUUUAUAAAUAAUUUUAAUUAAGAAUAUUUUAUUUUUUAUUUAUGUUAAUAUUUUAUUGGGGUAAUAAAGAGAUUAAAUAAAUUCUUUUUAAUAUUUAAUACUAAUUAGUAAUUUUAUGAUCCAGUAUUUCUGAUUAAAAGAUUAAGUUACCUUAGGGAUAACAGCGUAAUUUUUUUUGAGAGUUCAUAUCGAUAAAAAAGUUUGCGACCUCGAUGUUGGAUUAAAAAUUGUUCUAGGUGCAGAAGUUUAGAAAUUUGGUCUGUUCGACCAUUAAAUUUUU
Molecule: ribosomal RNA, 482 nt
Filed under: Copelatus sp. MB069
Lineage: Eukaryota; Metazoa; Arthropoda; Insecta; Coleoptera; Dytiscidae
Description: partial 16S ribosomal RNA
Rfam family: Bacterial large subunit ribosomal RNA
Source: RNAcentral